This 1243-nucleotide long non-coding RNA is filed under the name Homo sapiens (human). Its description in RNAcentral is "HSALNT0038355". Lineage: Eukaryota; Metazoa; Chordata; Mammalia; Primates; Hominidae. The record is from RNAcentral.
CUCAUCAAAACUUUGUCACAGUGAGUGGUCAGAAGGCAUACGCCAGAACUCCAGCAUUAUCCAACAGCUGUCACUUCCAUUUAAGGGACCAACGCAUUCUCUCAUGGACACUUCCUGGGGCAGCCUUUUGCAAAUUGCUCAUCUAACAAUCGAGAAAAUGAGGAAGGUGUUUACUUCAAAAUAAUCUUAGAAAUUGACAACAUGAAAUGAUGGAUGGUUUCUUAAGGACAAAGACCAUAGUGGGACUCUGAAUCUUCAGGGACCAGCAAAAUUCUUGGUGAUAUCAAGGUCUUUCUCGGAUCUAGGAGAGAUGAAAUCAGAGCCUGAUGUCUUCAAGUUCUGAAAAGAGACAUUUACCGUCUAUUCUUUCUGAAGCCUCCUGCCUGGAGGCUUCACUUACAUAACAAGAACCCUGGUCUUCACAACCUCCCUUAUGUUACUUUGGGCAUUUCUUUCUUCUGAUUUCAAGUCUUUAGACAAAGCUUAACUCUUUCAAUCAAUUGUCAAUUAGAAAAUCUUUGAAUCCACUUAUGACUUGUAAACACACCAUCUCUUCAAGAUAUCACAUCUCUUUAGGCUGAACCAGCAUAUACCUUACAUGUAUUGAUUUGUGUUUUUGCCUGUAACUUCUGUUUCCCAAAAUGCAUAAAACCGAACUGUAAGCUGACUGCCUCAGGCACACCUUCUCAAAACCUCUGGAGACUGUUCCCCAGGCCAUGGUCUGUCAUACUGGGUCAGAAUAAACUUCUUUAAAUAUUUUACUGUGCUUUGUUUUUCCAUUAACAAGCUCAUGGAUUGACUUACAGAUAUACCCACCCAAUUAUCAUGCUAAACUCCUUAUAGAAGUGCCCAGAAUAGAAAUGGUCAUCACCAUCUCUUCACCUGAUAUGUGGCAUCCAGGCCAAAGCCUGCUUUCUCCAUUACAUUCCAUUUCACAUCCUCUAUCCUAUCCUAGGAAGUCUUAGGAUCUGUAUAUUUAUUUAGCACAUAUGAAAUAUUUUUUGUUAAAAAAAUUGUAAAUAAAUCUUUAUAGGCAUAGUAAUUUUCUUUUCUAGUUUUGUUCUCUCGUUUUUAAGGAUCAUUUGCUCAUUGUAAAAACUUUAAGAAUUUAAAAUUUAUGAAAAAACGCAGUUGUGGUUCUCCCCAAAACCAAACCUUGUUAACUUUUUCAUCUGUAUCUUUCUAGUGGGAUAAAAAUAUGUGCGAGCAAAUCAGUGUUUGACCAUAUUUUUAUUACAUAAAA